UACGGGGGGGGCAAGCGUUGUUCGGAAUUACUGGGCGUAAAGGGCUCGUAGGCGGCCAACUAAGUCAGACGUGAAAUCCCUCGGCUUAACCGGGGAACUGCGUCUGAUACUGGAUGGCUUGAGUUUGGGAGAGGUAUGCGGAAUUCCAGGUGUAGCGGUGAAAUGCGUAGAUAUCUGGAGGAACACCGGUGGCGAAGGCGGCAUCCUGGACCAACACUGACGCUGAGUGAGCGAAAGCCAGGGGAGCAAACGGG
Molecule: ribosomal RNA, 254 nt
Filed under: uncultured bacterium
Lineage: Bacteria
Description: partial 16S ribosomal RNA
Rfam family: Bacterial small subunit ribosomal RNA
Source: RNAcentral